GCAGCGGGUAGGGCCGGGGGUCAGCCGUCCCCUUUGCCCGAAACCGGCUAUAUGCGGGGGCCAGAUAAGGCAGGGUAAACUGAAUGUGUGCUGAUGCAUGCACUGCCCAGUGUAUGAUGAAGCGCCAGCUGGGGCUACCUUCGCACUAGUUUCGUUUGAAGGGACGUAAUAAGUGCAUAACUGUCGAACCGGGUCAGGCCCGGGAGGGAGCAGCCCUAAGGCAGGAAAGGGGCGCCUAGCCGCCUACGCUUCAGACAGCAAGCAGUGUUAUACACCAGCUCGCAUUUAGGUAAACCUGCCUGCCGCUGC
This 309-nucleotide signal recognition particle RNA is filed under the name Nitrososphaerota archaeon. Its description in RNAcentral is "Thaumarchaeota archaeon signal recognition particle sRNA". It matches the Rfam family "Archaeal signal recognition particle RNA". The record is from RNAcentral. Lineage: Archaea; Thermoproteati; Nitrososphaerota.